Molecule: ribosomal RNA, 1110 nt
Filed under: Leptolyngbyaceae cyanobacterium EY05-AM2
Lineage: Bacteria; Bacillati; Cyanobacteriota; Cyanophyceae; Leptolyngbyales; Leptolyngbyaceae
Description: bacterial SSU rRNA
Rfam family: Bacterial small subunit ribosomal RNA
Source: RNAcentral
GGGGAAUUUUCCGCAAUGGGCGCAAGCCUGACGGAGCAAUACCGCGUGAGGGAGGAAGGCUUUUGGGUCGUAAACCUCUUUUAUUGGGGAAGAAAAUUUGACGGUACCCAAUGAAUCAGCAUCGGCUAACUCCGUGCCAGCAGCCGCGGUAAUACGGAGGAUGCAAGCGUUAUCCGGAAUUAUUGGGCGUAAAGCGUCCGCAGGUGGUUUUACAAGUCUGCAGUUAAAGCGUCCAGCUUAACUGGAUACAGGCAGUGGAAACUGUGAGACUAGAGUUUGGUAGGGGUCACGGGAAUUCCCAGUGUAGCGGUGAAAUGCGUAGAUAUUGGGAAGAACACCAGCGGCGAAAGCGCGUGACUGGGCCUGAACUGACACUCAUGGACGAAAGCUAGGGGAGCGAAAGGGAUUAGAUACCCCUGUAGUCCUAGCUGUAAACGAUGACAACUAGGUGUUGCACGUAUCGACCCGUGCAGUGCCGUAGCUAACGCGUUAAGUUGUCCGCCUGGGGAGUACGCACGCAAGUGUGAAACUCAAAGGAAUUGACGGGGGCCCGCACAAGCGGUGGAGUAUGUGGUUUAAUUCGAUGCAACGCGAAGAACCUUACCAGGGCUUGACAUGUCGCGAAUCUUGAUGAAAGUCGAGAGUGCCUUCGGGAGCGCGAACACAGGUGGUGCAUGGCUGUCGUCAGCUCGUGUCGUGAGAUGUUGGGUUAAGUCCCGCAACGAGCGCAACCCUCGUCGUUAGUUGCCAGCAUUGAGUUGGGCACUUUAGCGAGACUGCCGGUGACAAACCGGAGGAAGGUGGGGAUGACGUCAAGUCAGCAUGCCCCUUACGUCCUGGGCUACACACGUACUACAAUGCUGUGGACAAAGAGUCGCAAGCCAGCGAUGGCAAGCCAAUCUCGUAAACCACGGCUCAGUUCAGAUUGCAGGCUGCAACUCGCCUGCAUGAAGGCGGAAUCGCUAGUAAUCGCAGGUCAGCAUACUGCGGUGAAUACGUUCCCGGGCCUUGUACACACCGCCCGUCACACCAUGGGAGUUGGCCACGCCCGAAGUCGUUACUCCAACCGUUCGCGGAGGGGGAUGCCGAAGGCAGGGCUGAUGACUGGGG